RNAcentral lists this ribosomal RNA (424 nucleotides) under Klebsiella pneumoniae. Its description in RNAcentral is "partial 23S ribosomal RNA". It matches the Rfam family "Bacterial large subunit ribosomal RNA", at positions 2293 to 2716 of the family's 2925-position model. Lineage: Bacteria; Pseudomonadati; Pseudomonadota; Gammaproteobacteria; Enterobacterales; Enterobacteriaceae. The record is from RNAcentral.
AAGCGUAACGGAGGAGCACGAAGGUUAGCUAAUCCUGGUCGGACAUCAGGAGGUUAGUGCAAUGGCAUAAGCUAGCUUGACUGCGAGCGUGACGGCGCGAGCAGGUGCGAAAGCAGGUCAUAGUGAUCCGGUGGUUCUGAAUGGAAGGGCCAUCGCUCAACGGAUAAAAGGUACUCCGGGGAUAACAGGCUGAUACCGCCCAAGAGUUCAUAUCGACGGCGGUGUUUGGCACCUCGAUGUCGGCUCAUCACAUCCUGGGGCUGAAGUAGGUCCCAAGGGUAUGGCUGUUCGCCAUUUAAAGUGGUACGCGAGCUGGGUUUAGAACGUCGUGAGACAGUUCGGUCCCUAUCUGCCGUGGGCGCUGGAGAAUUGAGGGGGGCUGCUCCUAGUACGAGAGGACCGGAGUGGACGCAUCACUGGUGUU